Molecule: ribosomal RNA, 453 nt
Filed under: uncultured bacterium
Lineage: Bacteria
Description: bacterial SSU rRNA
Rfam family: Bacterial small subunit ribosomal RNA
Source: RNAcentral
ACUCCUACGGGAGGCAGCAGUCGAGAAUCUUUCACAAUGGGGGCAACCCUGAUGGAGCGACGCCGCGUGGAGGGAUAAGGUCUUCGGAUUGUAAACUCCUGUCAUGUGAGAACAAGGUUCAGGGUUAUAUACCUUUGCAAUUGAUUGGUUAUCACAAUGAGGGAAGNGAACGGGCAUAACUCCGUGUGCCAGCAGCCGCGGUAAUACAGAGGUCUCAAGCGUUGUUCGGAAUCACUGGGCGUAAAGGGUGCGUAGGUGGCGUGGUAAGUCAGAUGUGAAAGCCCGGGGCUCAACCUCGGAACAGCAUCCGAUACUGCCGUGCUAGAGUACUGAAGAGGUGACUAGAAUUCUCGGUGUAGCAGUGAAAUGCGUAGAUAUCGAGAGGAAUACCAAAGGCGAAGGCAGGUCACUGGGCAGUUACUGACACUGAGGCACGAAGGCCAGGGGAGCAAA